UGCAGUCGACGAUGAAGGGAGCUUGCUCCUGGAUUAGUGGCGAACGGGUGAGUAACACGUGAGUAACCUGCCCUUAACUCUGGGAUAAGCCUGGGAAACUGGGUCUAAUACCGGAUAUGACUGAUCAUCGCAUGGUGGUUGGUGGAAAGCUUUUUGUGGUUUUGGAUGGACUCGCGGCCUAUCAGCUUGUUGGUGAGGUAAUGGCUCACCAAGGCGACGACGGGUAGCCGGCCUGAGAGGGUGACCGGCCACACUGGGACUGAGACACGGCCCAGACUCCUACGGGAGGCAGCAGUGGGGAAUAUUGCACAAUGGGCGCAAGCCUGAUGCAGCGACGCCGCGUGAGGGAUGACGGCCUUCGGGUUGUAAACCUCUUUCAGUAGGGAAGAAGCGAAAGUGACGGUACCUGCAGAAGAAGCGCCGGCUAACUACGUGCCAGCAGCCGCGGUAAUACGUAGGGCGCAAGCGUUAUCCGGAAUUAUUGGGCGUAAAGAGCUCGUAGGCGGUUUGUCGCGUCUGCCGUGAAAGUCCGGGGCUCAACUCCGGAUCUGCGGUGGGUACGGGCAGACUAGAGUGAUGUAGGGGAGACUGGAAUUCCUGGUGUAGCGGUGAAAUGCGCAGAUAUCAGGAGGAACACCGAUGGCGAAGGCAGGUCUCUGGGCAUUAACUGACGCUGAGAGCGAAA
Molecule: ribosomal RNA, 685 nt
Filed under: Arthrobacter sp. 3B5-2009
Lineage: Bacteria; Bacillati; Actinomycetota; Actinomycetes; Micrococcales; Micrococcaceae
Description: bacterial SSU rRNA
Rfam family: Bacterial small subunit ribosomal RNA
Source: RNAcentral